Molecule: ribosomal RNA, 429 nt
Filed under: Pseudomonadota bacterium
Lineage: Bacteria; Pseudomonadati; Pseudomonadota
Description: Proteobacteria bacterium partial 16S ribosomal RNA
Rfam family: Bacterial small subunit ribosomal RNA
Source: RNAcentral
UGGGGAAUAUUGGACAAUGGGCGAAAGCCUGAUCCAGCCAUGCCGCGUGUGUGAAGAAGGUCUUCGGAUUGUAAAGCACUUUAAGUUUGGAGGAAGGGCAGUAAGCGAAUACCUUGCUGUUUUGACGUUACCGACAGAAUAAGCACCGGCUAACUCUGUGCCAGCAGCCGCGGUAAUACAGAGGGUGCAAGCGUUAAUCGGAAUUACUGGGCGUAAAGCGCGCGUAGGUGGUUCGUUAAGUUGAAUGUGAAAGCCCCGGGCUCACCCGGGGAACUGCAUCCAAAACUGGCGUGCUAGAGGAGGGCAGAGGGUGGUGGAAUUUCCUGUGGAGCGGUGAAAUGCGUAGAAAUAGGAAGGAACUCCUGUGGCGACGGCGACCACCUGGGCUAAUACUGUCACUGAGGUGUGAAAGCGUGGGGAGCAAACAGG